RNAcentral lists this ribosomal RNA (498 nucleotides) under uncultured Planctomycetota bacterium. Its description in RNAcentral is "bacterial SSU rRNA". It matches the Rfam family "Bacterial small subunit ribosomal RNA", at positions 355 to 867 of the family's 1533-position model. Lineage: Bacteria; Pseudomonadati; Planctomycetota. The record is from RNAcentral.
UCGAGAAUCUUUGUCAAUGGGCGCAAGCCUGGACAAGCGAUGCCGCGUGCGGGAUGAAGGCCUUCGGGUUGUAAACCGCUGUCAGAGGGGAGCAAAUUUUGAGCGAUCCUCAGAGGAAGCCCGGGCUAAGUUCGUGCCAGCAGCCGCGGUAAUACGAACCGGGCGAACGUUAUUCGGAAUUACUGGGCUUAAAGGGUGCGUAGGCGGCGCUGUAAGUCGGGUGUGAAAUCCCACGGCUCAACCGUGGAAUUGCGCCCGAUACUGCAGUGCUUGAGGAAGAUAGAGGUGAGCGGAACGAAUGGUGGAGCGGUGAAAUGCGUUGAUAUCAUUCGGAACACCCGUGGCGAAAGCGGCUCACUGGGUCUUUUCUGACGCUGAUGCACGAAAGCUAGGGGGAGCGAACGGGAUUAGAUACCCCGGUAGUCCUAGCCGUAAACGAUGAGCACUAGAUCGGGGAGUCCAACACAACUUCUCGAUCGUAGCGAAAGUGUUAAGUCG